UGGUGAGUGAUUUGUCUGGUUAAUUCCGUUAACGAACGAGACCUCAGCCUACUAACUAGAUGCAGCAAUCUUUGGAUUGUUGUACGCUUCUUAGAGGGACUAUCGGUGAUUAGCCGAUGGAAGUUUGAGGCAAUAACA
This 138-nucleotide ribosomal RNA is filed under the name uncultured eukaryote. Its description in RNAcentral is "partial 18S ribosomal RNA". It matches the Rfam family "Eukaryotic small subunit ribosomal RNA", at positions 1299 to 1458 of the family's 1831-position model. The record is from RNAcentral.